RNAcentral lists this long non-coding RNA (353 nucleotides) under Coturnix japonica (Japanese quail). RNAcentral's name for it is "lncRNA (ENSCJPG00005000218.1)". The record is from RNAcentral. Lineage: Eukaryota; Metazoa; Chordata; Aves; Galliformes; Phasianidae.
UUUUAGCCCCAUACUUCUUUUCACCCAAUUGCACUGUCUUGUUUUCCUAUCUGUUGCUCAGCUGUUAGUCAACGUUGUAAGAAGAAAGAGAGAAAUCUUACCCAGGUGAAAAAUUAGGCAGUCUUAAAGUGUGUGGUUCUCCUUGGGAAACUCUCAUUGUGAAGACUGGCAUGCUUUUUACACUUCCACAUUCAGAAGGAGGAGGCGGGAGAGGCUGCUCCAAGGAAGAACACGGCAGUUUUAAAGCCACCCUUGAGAAUUUCUCCUCUUGACCUUGUCAAAUCCAAAGGAACUCUCUUGAGCAUUCAGGAUCCCAUUUAUUCAAGCAUGUGCAUGGAUUCAUGCAAUACCAA